RNAcentral lists this transfer RNA (81 nucleotides) under Elusimicrobiota bacterium. RNAcentral describes it as "Elusimicrobia bacterium (groundwater metagenome) tRNA-Leu". It matches the Rfam family "tRNA". Rfam says of the family: Transfer RNA (tRNA) molecules are approximately 80 nucleotides in length. Their secondary structure includes four short double-helical elements and three loops (D, anti-codon, and T loops). Lineage: Bacteria; Pseudomonadati; Elusimicrobiota. The record is from RNAcentral.
GGGCGGGUGGCGGAACGGCAGACGCGCACGGCUUAGGACCGUGUGCCGCAAGGCGUGGGGGUUCAAGUCCCCCCCCGCCCA